RNAcentral lists this ribosomal RNA (387 nucleotides) under Stenodactylus mauritanicus. RNAcentral's name for it is "partial 12S ribosomal RNA". It matches the Rfam family "Bacterial small subunit ribosomal RNA", at positions 796 to 1381 of the family's 1533-position model. The record is from RNAcentral. Lineage: Eukaryota; Metazoa; Chordata; Lepidosauria; Squamata; Gekkonidae.
UCAGCCAUAAACCAAGACAGUAAAACCACAAACUGUCCGCCAGAGAAUUACUAGCGAAAAGCUUAAAACUCAAAGGACUUGACGGUGUCCCAAAUCAACCUAGAGGAGCCUGUCCUAUAAUCGAUAACCCACGCUUCACCCCACCUGCUCUCGCCCUCAGUCUAUAUACCGCCGUCUUCAACCUGCCUACUGAUAGACCACCCCAGCACGUAUAACUGACCCCCCUCAAGCACGUCAGGUCAAGGUGUAGCCAACGAGCAGGAAGAGAUGGGCUACAUUUUCUUCACACAAGAAAAAACCAACAGCGCUAUGAAACCCCGCCAACAAAGCAGGAUUUAGCAGUAAGCCUGAAAUAGACCAAGCCAGGCUGAAACACGCUCUGGGACG